UACGUAGGUGGCAAGCGUUGUCCGGAUUUACUGGGCGUAAAGAGCGCGCAGGCGGUCGUUCAAGUCGCGUGUGAAAGCCCCCGGCUCAACUGGGGAGGGUCACGCGAUACUGGUCGACUCGAAGGCAGGAGAGGGUAGUGGAAUUCCCGGUGUAGUGGUGAAAUGCGUAGAGAUCAUGAGGAAGACCAGUGGCGAAGGCGGGUCUCUGGACAGUUCCUGACACUGAGACACGAAGGCCAGGGGAGCAAACGGG
RNAcentral lists this ribosomal RNA (253 nucleotides) under uncultured bacterium. RNAcentral describes it as "partial 16S ribosomal RNA". It matches the Rfam family "Bacterial small subunit ribosomal RNA", at positions 524 to 776 of the family's 1533-position model. The record is from RNAcentral.